This 207-nucleotide non-coding RNA is filed under the name uncultured Blautia sp. Lineage: Bacteria; Bacillati; Bacillota; Clostridia; Lachnospirales; Lachnospiraceae. The record is from RNAcentral.
UACAGAGGUGCCUGCGGAUACCGCGGGAGAAUAGGGAAGCUGAGUGAAAAGCUCACACGGUCGCGCCGCUGUAAGGGAGAAAACGUAUUUUCAGGGAUCCUGCUCUAUAUGGAUCCCGGUCACUGGGUCACACUGGAAUAGAACGAUUCCCGGGAAGGCCAGAAUACGGCAGAUGAUCCUAAGUCAGAAGACCUGCCUCGUACAUAA